CACUCCUACGGGAGGCAGCAGUGGGGAAUUUUGGACCAUGGGCGCAAGCCUGAUCCAGCCAUGCCGCGUGCGGGAAGAAGGCCUUCGGGUUGUAAACCGCUUUUGUCAGGGAAGAAAAGGUUCUGGCUAAUACCUGGGACUCAUGACGGUACCUGAAGAAUAAGCACCGGCUAACUACGUGCCAGCAGCCGCGGUAAUACGUAGGGUGCAAGCGUUAAUCGGAAUUACUGGGCGUAAAGCGUGCGCAGGCGGUUAUGCAAGACAGAGGUGAAAUCCCCGGGCUCAACCUGGGAACUGCCUUUGUGACUGCAUGGCUAGAGUACGGUAGAGGGGGAUGGAAUUCCGCGUGUAGCAGUGAAAUGCGUAGAUAUGCGGAGGAACACCGAUGGCGAAGGCAAUCCCCUGGACCUGUACUGACGCUCAUGCACGAAAGCGUGGGGAGCAAACAGGAUUAGAAACCCGAGUAGUCCCAU
Molecule: ribosomal RNA, 473 nt
Filed under: uncultured organism
Description: partial 16S ribosomal RNA
Rfam family: Bacterial small subunit ribosomal RNA
Source: RNAcentral